UAUUUUAUUCCAACAUUUUGUGACUCACUGGAGCUCCGGUGAGCAUAGAAAGUAAAGCUAAGAAAGUGGAUUGUCAGAUUUCGGAGAAAACUGGACUAGCGAUGCGGCUGGUUCAGUGAUUUCAGUGGAUUUCUAUGUAGUUUGUGCCAUUUUCGAAGUGUUGGUCACCAGAACUGGUUGUUGAUCUAUCAUUAAUGAUAGAUUUGACAAUGGUCAGCUUUGAAUCUCUAUAUUUGCAUUGCCGGAGCUUCGGCGACCUCAAUAGCUUAUAAU
RNAcentral lists this long non-coding RNA (273 nucleotides) under Capsicum annuum. RNAcentral's name for it is "long non-coding RNA (CANN_LNC002312)". Lineage: Eukaryota; Viridiplantae; Streptophyta; Magnoliopsida; Solanales; Solanaceae. The record is from RNAcentral.